Molecule: ribosomal RNA, 478 nt
Filed under: uncultured bacterium
Lineage: Bacteria
Description: partial 16S ribosomal RNA
Rfam family: Bacterial small subunit ribosomal RNA
Source: RNAcentral
GACGAACGCUGGCGGCGUGCUUAACACAUGCAAGUCGAACGGUAAGGCCCUUCGGGGUACACGAGUGGCGAACGGGUGAGUAACACGUGGGUGAUCUGCCCUGCACUUCGGGAUAAGCCUGGGAAACUGGGUCUAAUACCGGAUAGGACCACUGCCUGCAUGGGUGGUGGUGGAAAGCUUUUGCGGUGUGGGAUGGGCCCGCGGCCUAUCAGCUUGUUGGUGGGGUGAUGGCCUACCAAGGCGACGACGGGUAGCCGGCCUGAGAGGGUGACCGGCCACACGGGGAAUGAGAUACGGCCCAGACUCCUACGGGAGGCAGCAGUGGGGAAUAUUGCACAAUGGGCGCAAGCCUGAUGCAGCGACGCCGCGUGAGGGAUGACGGCCUUCGGGUUGUAAACCUCUUUCAGCACCGACGAAGCGCAAGUGACGGUAGGUGCAGAAGAAGGACCGGCCAACUACGUGCCAGCAGCCGCGGUAA